This 441-nucleotide ribosomal RNA is filed under the name uncultured bacterium. RNAcentral describes it as "partial 16S ribosomal RNA". It matches the Rfam family "Bacterial small subunit ribosomal RNA", at positions 338 to 795 of the family's 1533-position model. The record is from RNAcentral.
CCUACGGGAGGCAGCAGUGGGGAAUAUUGCACAAUGGGGGAAACCCUGAUGCAGCAACGCCGCGUGAGUGAGGAAGUAUUUCUGUAUGUAAAGCUCUAUCAGCAGGGAAUCGACUAGAAGCUACCUGAAAAAGAGGCCCCGUCGAACUACGUGCCAGCAACCGCGGUAAUAUGUAGGGGGCAAGCGUUAUCCGGAUUUACUGGGUGUAAAGGGAGCGUAGACGGAAAGGCAAGUUAGUAGUGAAAACCCAAGGCUCAACCAUGGGACUGCGUUUGAAACUGUCAAACUAGAGUACGGGAGAGAUAAGAGGAAGUCCUGGUGUAGCGGUGAAAUGCGUAGAUAUUAGGAGGAACACCAGUGGCGAAGGCGGCUUACUGGACCGAAACUGACGUUGAGGCUCGAAAGCGUGGGGAGCAAACAGGAUUAGAUACCCCGGUAGUC